This 208-nucleotide long non-coding RNA is filed under the name Capsicum annuum. Its description in RNAcentral is "long non-coding RNA (CANN_LNC018651)". Lineage: Eukaryota; Viridiplantae; Streptophyta; Magnoliopsida; Solanales; Solanaceae. The record is from RNAcentral.
UUCUUUUAUUUUUCAGUUUUCACAUCUGCGAUCUGUCUGCCUCACUCAUGCUCAUCGGUUUAAAGACCGCCUCAGCCUCUCUCAGUCUCUGUCAUUAUUCACAAUCGUUGAUCAAUUGUGGCUGAUUCUUGCUAAAAACUCUGUAUUCAAAGUCUAUUUUUACUGAAAACUGAUUAUUCAUGGUCGAUUUUGUUGAAAACUAAAGAGA